GGGGGGGGGGGGGGGGGGGGGGAGGGCAGGGAGGGCGGGGGGGGGGGGCCGGCUGUUGGGGGGGGCUCGAGUGGCGAACGGGUGGGUAACACGUGAGUAACCUGCCCGUGACUUUGGGAUAACUUCAGGAAACUGGGGCUCAUACCGGAUCGGAGCUCCUGCUGCAUGGUGGGGGUUGGAAAGUUUCGGCGGUUGGGGCUGGACUCGCGGCUGAUCAGCUUGUUGGUGGGGUAGUGGCUUACCAAGGCUUUGACGGGUAGCCGGCCUGAGAGGGUGACCGGCCACAUUGGGACUGAGAUACGGCCCAGACUCCUACGGGAGGCAGCAGUGGGGAAUAUUGCACAAUGGGCGGAAGCCUGAUGCAGCAACGCCGCGUGCGGGAUGACGGCCUUCGGGUUGUAAACCGCUUUCGCCUGUGACGAAGCGUGAGUGACGGUAAUGGGUAAAGAAGCACCGGCUAACUACGUG
RNAcentral lists this ribosomal RNA (468 nucleotides) under uncultured bacterium. RNAcentral describes it as "partial 16S ribosomal RNA". The stretch from base 58 to 468 matches the Rfam family "Bacterial small subunit ribosomal RNA", at positions 39 to 507 of the family's 1533-position model. The record is from RNAcentral.